GACGAACGCUGGCGGCGUGCUUAACACAUGCAAGUCGAACGGAAAGGCCCUGCUUUUGUGGGGUGCUCGAGUGGCGAACGGGUGAGUAACACGUGAGUAACCUGCCCUUGACUUUGGGAUAACUUCAGGAAACUGGGGCUAAUACCGGAUAGGAGCUCCUGCUGCAUGGUGGGGGUUGGAAAGUUUCGGCGGUUGGGGAUGGACUCGGGGCUUAUCAGCUUGUUGGUGGGGUAGUGGCUUACCAAGGCUUUGACGGGUAGCCGGCCUGAGAGGGUGACCGGCCACAUUGGGACUGAGAUACGGACCAGACUCCUACGGGAGGCAGCAGUGGGGAAUAUUGCACAGUGGGCGGAAGCCUGAUGCAGCAACGCCGCGUGCGGGAUGACGGCCUUCGGGUUGUAAACCGCUUUCGCCUGUGACGAAGCGUGAGUGACGGUAAUGGGUAAAGAAGCACCGGCUAACUACGUG
RNAcentral lists this ribosomal RNA (468 nucleotides) under uncultured bacterium. Its description in RNAcentral is "partial 16S ribosomal RNA". It matches the Rfam family "Bacterial small subunit ribosomal RNA", at positions 28 to 507 of the family's 1533-position model. The record is from RNAcentral.